GAAUUUUAGAGACAAUAUUCUUAGCUAGACUCUUACGUGUGAGGACGAUUCGGUGUUUGGCUAACCAUAUUGCAUCAUCCAUUCAUGUCUAAGGAUAUGCGAUGGGAUGUCGGUCCUCGGUGGAGCCAGUGGGAUCGAAAGAUCAGGUUUCCACGUAGAUCACCGAGUGUGACUACAUAUUUAGGUUGUAAAUGACACCGAGUCUGAUGGUUAACACAAAGGCCGGUGAAAAGACCGACUCG
RNAcentral lists this long non-coding RNA (242 nucleotides) under Lotus japonicus. RNAcentral's name for it is "long non-coding RNA (LJAP_LNC001592)". Lineage: Eukaryota; Viridiplantae; Streptophyta; Magnoliopsida; Fabales; Fabaceae. The record is from RNAcentral.